This 540-nucleotide ribosomal RNA is filed under the name Zoogloea sp. RNAcentral's name for it is "bacterial SSU rRNA". It matches the Rfam family "Bacterial small subunit ribosomal RNA", at positions 199 to 734 of the family's 1533-position model. Lineage: Bacteria; Pseudomonadati; Pseudomonadota; Betaproteobacteria; Rhodocyclales; Zoogloeaceae. The record is from RNAcentral.
ACCGAAAGGCCUCGCGCGAUUGGAGCGGCCGAUGUCGGAUUAGCUAGUUGGUAGGGUAAAGGCCUACCAAGGCGACGAUCCGUAGCGGGUCUGAGAGGAUGAUCCGCCACACUGGGACUGAGACACGGCCCAGACUCCUACGGGAGGCAGCAGUGGGGAAUUUUGGACAAUGGGCGCAAGCCUGAUCCAGCCAUGCCGCGUGAGUGAAGAAGGCCUUCGGGUUGUAAAGCUCUUUCAGGUGGAAAGAAAACGCAUGGGUCAAUACCCUGUGUGGAUGACGGUACCAUCAGAAGAAGCACCGGCUAACUACGUGCCAGCAGCCGCGGUAAUACGUAGGGUGCGAGCGUUAAUCGGAAUUACUGGGCGUAAAGCGUGCGCAGGCGGUGAUGUAAGACAGAUGUGAAAUCCCCGGGCUCAACCUGGGAACUGCGUUUGUGACUGCAUCACUCGAGUACGGCAGAGGGAGGUGGAAUUCCGCGUGUAGCAGUGAAAUGCGUAGAUAUGCGGAGGAACACCGAUGGCGAAGGCAGCCUCCUGGGC